Gorilla gorilla gorilla (western lowland gorilla) is the source of this 2806-nucleotide RNA transcript. It is a transcript of the gene named protein SSX2, with no coding region annotated. The record is from RefSeq and is a predicted model, not a curated record. Lineage: Eukaryota; Metazoa; Chordata; Mammalia; Primates; Hominidae. The transcript is spliced from 8 exons.
UGGGGGUGGAGACUCUAAUUUUCCCGCCUAAAGCAUCCCCUGGGAUUGGCUACUUUAAGUUCAGAGUACGCAUGCUCUGACUUUCUCUCUCUUUCGAUUCUUCCAUACUCAGAGUACGCACGGUCUGAUUUUCUCUUUGGAUUCUUCCAAAAUCAGAGUCAGACUGCUCCCGGUGCCAUGAACGGAGACGACGCCUUUGCAAGGAGACCCGCGGCUGGUGCUCAAAUACCAGAGAAGAUCCAAAAGGCCUUCGAUGAUAUUGCCAAAUACUUCUCUAAGGAAGAGUGGGAAAAGAUGAAAGCCUCGGAGAAAAUCUUCUAUGUGUAUAUGAAGAGAAAGUAUGAGGCUAUGACUAAACUAGGUUUCAAGGCCACCCUCCCACCUUUCAUGUGUAAUAAACGGGCCGAAGACUUCCAGGGGAAUGAUUUUGAUAAUGACCCUAACCGUGGGAAUCAGGUUGAACGUCCUCAGAUGACUUUCGGCAGGCUCCAGGGAAUCUCCCCGAAGAUCAUGCCCAAGAAGCCAGCAGAGGAAGGAAAUGAUUCGGAGGAAGUGCCAGAAGCAUCUGGCCCACAAAAUGAUGGGAAACAGCUGUGCCCCCCGGGAAAACCAACUACCUCUGAGAAGAUUCACGAGAGAUCUGGUGUACUUCAGAGAUACUGCAGGUUCAGUUCCAGACCACUGCAAUAAAGUGAGUCACACACGUUGUUUUUUGGUUUGGCAGCGCAUAAAAACAUUAUGUUUAUACUAUAGUGUAGUCUACUAAGUGUGUGAUAGCGUUGUGUCUAAAAAUGUAUAUACCUUAAUUUUAAAAUAAUUCUUUGUUAAAAAUGCUAACAAUCUUCUGAGCCUUCAGUGAGUCACACUCUUUUUGCUGGUGGAGGGUCUUGCCUCGGUGUUGAUGGCUGCUGGCUGAUCAAGGUGGUGGUUGCUGAAGGGUGGAGUGGCUGUGGCAGUUUCUUAAAAGAACACAACAGUGAAAUUUGCCACAUCGAUUAGCUCUCCGUUUCAUGAAGGAUUUCUCUGUAGUAUGUGAUGCUAUUGGAUAGCAUUUUACCCACAGUAGAACUUCUUUCAAAGUUGAAAUCAAUCCUCUCUAGCUAUGAAAGUCCUAGAUGGCAUCUCCUUCCAAUAGAAGGCUAUUUUAUCUACAUUGAAAAUCUGUUGUUUCAUGUAGCCACCUUCAACAGUGAUCUUAGCUAGAUCUUCUGGAUAACUUGCUGCAGCUUCUCCAUCAGGGUUUGCUGCUUCACCUUGCACUUUUAUGUUACGGAAACGGCUUCAUUCCUUAAACCUCAUGAACCAACCUCUGCUAUCUUCACAUGUUUCUCCUGCAGCUUCUUCACCUCUCUCAGCAUUCAUGGACUUGACGAGAGUUCUGGUCUUGCUCUGAAUUAGACUUUGGCUUAAGGGAAUGUUGUGGCUGGUUUCGUCUUCUAUCCUGACCACUCAAACUUCCUCUAUUUGAGCAGUAAGGCAGUUUUGCUUUCUUAUUCGUGUGUUCACUGGAGUAUUAGUAUUAUUAUUUCCCUCAAGAACUUUUCCUUUGCAUUAUAUACUAUUAUUUCCUUCAAGAACUUUUCCUUUGCAUUCACAGCUUGGCUGUUUGGUGCAAUAGGCCUAGCUUUCAUCCUGUCUUGGCUUUCAGCAUGCUUCCUCACUAAGCUUAGCCAUUUCUAGCUUGUGAUUUAGAGCGAGAGACAUGCGACUCUUCCUUUCAUUUGAACACUUAGCGGCCAUUGUAAGGUUGUUAAUAAUCCUCAUUUCAGUAUUGCUGUGUCUCAGGAAAUAGGGAGGCCCAAGAAAAGGAAGAGAGACGCGGAACAGCUCAUCGGUGGAGCAGUCAGAACACACACAACAUUGGUCGAUUCAGUUUGUCAACUUCUAUGGGUGCAGUUCAUGGUACCCCCCAAAACAAUUACACACAACAGGGUGAUUAUAGUCAAUAAUAACUUAAUUGUACAUUAAAAAAACUAAAAGAGCAUAAAUGGAUUGUUUGUAAGGCAAGGAUAAAUGCUUGAGGAUGGAUACCCUAUUUUCCAUGAUGUGAUUAUCAUGCAUUGCAUGCCUGUAUCAAAGCAUCUCAUGUACCCCAUAAGAAUAUACACCUACUGUGUACCCACAAAAUAAAGAACAAAAAUUAUUUUAAAACACUAAAAAACAAUAAAAACAAUUGUAGUAAUAAUAUCAAAGCUCACUGAUCACAGAUCACUGUAACAGAUAUAAUAAUAAUGGAAAAGUGUAAAAUUGGUGAGAAUUUCCAAAAAAAAAAAAUUGCAGCAUCUGCGAAGCAGUAUGAACAUGAAGUGCAACAGAACAAGGUACGCCUGUGUGGCCUUAACAAAUACGUGCUGGAUGAAAGGAGGUAUGGGGGAAUGUUCCCGUAAGUGAAGAGGUUGGGAAUCUAAGCCUGAGAAGGGAAGGAGCCAGAAGCUAAAACUUUAAUCGGCAUUUGGCCUAUGCUGGUGUGGAUCUAAGGUCUCAGCCUCUCUAAGCCAGAGAAUGUGAAAAACUGGAUAAAGAAGGCCCAUGGGCACUUGGGAGGAAGCAGGCAUCUCCUUUUUUUGAGUAAACAGAGCCUAACACUCUCCAACCUACCCAACCCUCACUUUCCAACUAUUCUCCAUCAUAGGACCCAAAAGGGGGGAACAUGCCUGGACUCACAGACUGCGUGAGAGAAAGCAGCUGGUGAUUUAUGAAGAGAUCAGCGACCCUGAGGAAGAUGACGAGUAACUCCCCUCAGGGAUACGACACAUGCCCAUGAUGAGAAGCAGAAUGUGGUGACCUUUCACGAACAUGGGCAUGG